CCUGGUGCUGAGGUUCUUACAGUCCCGCUUUGGGAGCGGAGGGUCGCAGGUUCGAAUCCUGUCACCCCGACCA
RNAcentral lists this transfer RNA (73 nucleotides) under Nocardia cyriacigeorgica. RNAcentral's name for it is "tRNA-Pro". Lineage: Bacteria; Bacillati; Actinomycetota; Actinomycetes; Mycobacteriales; Nocardiaceae. The record is from RNAcentral.